This is a non-coding RNA of Paramuricea clavata, 930 nucleotides long. Lineage: Eukaryota; Metazoa; Cnidaria; Anthozoa; Malacalcyonacea; Plexauridae. The record is from the annotation of a GenBank genome assembly.
UAAAAGCCAAAAUAUAAAUUAUAUAAUACUCGAUGUGAAUUUAUAACUUGAUUAAACUGUAACAGUUUGUCAGCAUGUUAAUCUAUAUUUCAAGAUAUCAGUUUGCUUCUAGUCAGUUUAUUUGAUCCAGACAUAUUGCCUUUUAAUUUUUUGACAAAACUGUUUAUGUUUUAGCACUAAUUUCACAGAUCUUAUAUGAGCUAGUAACAUUUAUAGCAGCUCAAAUAAAAAAUAACCAAGUGACUGGACAGACGGGAGUUAUUUCGUAUUUUGUAGCAAUAUAAAAACUUUUGUUUGCGGUAAUCUUCACCAAGUUUGUCGUUAGCUCAAGCGGUAAAGGCGCUGCGUACCGAAAGUGAAACGCAGUCGGGUCGGGAUCGAUGCCGAACAUUAUCUGAUUUAGCUCUUUUUCUCAAUUUUUUGUAAUUUUUUUCUUCCUUCCUUUUUUAACUCUUAAAAGUUAGGCCGGUUAGUGUUUGGGAUCGGUAUAAAAUCUAAAGUGCUUUAAAAAAGUCUUAAUCUUUUUUUAUCUGGUUGAAAAUGUUUGAAUAUUGAGUUGCGAACUCAACCGCUGGUAAUUCUAAUUGUGAUCGCGGGCACUGACAAAGAACGCCCGGGACCAGAGCGUAUGAUGCCAAUGACGCGGUCUGUGCGCAUCUGACACUGUAAAUUUGUGAUAUAGAUUAUAGUAUGUUAACACAAUAUGAUUAAUAGAGAACAAAAAAAGGCUAAAGUAUUACUAUAACUAGGAGUUACUAUCGCAAGGAAAAUGCUGCCGAUAUGUACAUGUAGGAUGUGCUACAAAAAGAGCGUUUUUCACUGUAUGUAUGAUUUAUUGUCUUACACAUCGUCGUUCCUCAGUUACCUUCGUACAAUUAUAUCUUACGUCUAAUCUUAUGAAAAGUAUAUUUUAAUAUACUUAACAGUGCG